AUCCCAAAACACACUGAGAGUUACUGAACUACACGGCAUUGGUCUUCCCCUAAUACCAGUUAAAAAUAGCCAGAUCGGUCACAAGUGUGCUAGCAGGAUCAUCCACUGUCGCAGUACACAGCUCAGGUUAUUUUUUUUCUCCCCUUUCACUGCCCUCCUAGCACAGAGCUCUUUUGUUUGAUUAUUACCUGGGCAAAUUUGCUAUACGAUAAAAAAAAUUAUGCACGUAGCUGACUCCCGUCCAGAUGCCCUUAGGAGAAGACGUUCAUUUUCAUCUUGUUUCCCAAAUGAAGCUUUAAAUCUAAUUAGACCUUGAAAGAAAAUAUCUGCGAUACGGUUUCUGUAACUAAAGGGCCUCUCAUUUAAAUAAUGUUCUUAUUUGUUUAUGUUGUGUGAUUUAUAGCCAGUGAUGAAAUUCUUUGCGGCUAGCGUGCCACAUGCUUCGGGGGUCCUUUGCAUAGAGCACUUUGACCAGGACCGGGGCCCGGCACCUGCUGCUCAGGGGCGCGCGCGUACGUCAGACGGAAGGUCAGGAAGCCCCGCAGUCCUGCCCCCGGGCUCCCUCCUAGCACCCUGCCAAGCACGCUGCCCCCGGGCUCCGUCCCAGCACCCCGCCAUCGGGAGGCUGGCUGACUAGGACAAAGGCCUAGCUGAGACGGUGCCGCGGGUAAUGGGAGCAGAACCUCGGUGGCUCACCAGCUAUUUUCAUCCCUGAGGAGAAAGCAUCGGUGUCAGCGUUGAACCAGCUGCGGCUUCCACAGGAUGUCAGACGGAGACAGAUUCCUGACAAAGGAUGGGCUUGCUCCAAGAAUGCCUUUGAGCAUAUUGCUCUGCUGUGCACGAGAAGCUCCACGUGGCUCUGGGACCCGAAGCUGCAGGUCCUCCGGCUGUGCCCCCGAGUGGCCUGGCUCCCUGUGCCUUAGCCUGCCGGCACCUGCCGUGUUCUGCCUGGAGCUGCCCGCUGGCCACGCCUCGAUGAUGAGCUGGCUGCAUAGACACCACAGCCUCCUCAUGUCUCGGAUGCUUGUGCCCCAGCCCUCACCGCAUGGCCCGCCUCUGCAGGAGCCAAGGCAUCAGCUGUCUGCCCUUCUUCUGCAAACAAUGCCACACAAGAGACACAAUCACAGCUAA
This 1131-nucleotide long non-coding RNA is filed under the name Canis lupus familiaris (dog). Its description in RNAcentral is "lncRNA (ENSCAFG00000057146.1, ENSCAFG00845013272.1)". The record is from RNAcentral. Lineage: Eukaryota; Metazoa; Chordata; Mammalia; Carnivora; Canidae.